UUACAAUAGUACAUUGUUUUACUGUGAUGAUGUUUUUUUUUUUACAUAGAAUACUGAAUUAAAGCAUAAAGAGUGGUUGUCUUACCAUAGUUUGGGCAGCAGACCUUGAGCCAGCAGACACAGGAGAGCACCGUGAGUUACCUGGCUGCAGUUCUCGUCCCGGUGAACAAAAGAUGGGACAUUUUAUGCAGAGGCCCUAGUCUUGAACCUUUCCAAAAGAUCUGACAACAGUGGGGGAUCAGGGUUUCUUCCUGCAUGUUUUAGUUAUGUCCAUGUUGUCCUCCCCUCUGUGUGUUUAUUGGUUUGGUCAGUGUGUAUAUACAUGUCCCUCAUGUCUCAUUUGAAAGGUCUGUUAAUUGAGUUAACAUCUUGAUUAUGUUAGCCUUAUUUUUUAGUAGAGUUAUGUUUUGUUGACCUUUUUAAUGGCCCUAUAGCUAUUUGCUUUAUUUGCUUGUGGAUCUUUGUUUUGGGGGAAAUAAACCCAACCUUUUGAACUUUAAA
This is a long non-coding RNA of Sander lucioperca (pikeperch), 501 nucleotides long. RefSeq lists it as uncharacterized. The record is from RefSeq and is a predicted model, not a curated record. Lineage: Eukaryota; Metazoa; Chordata; Actinopteri; Perciformes; Percidae. The transcript is spliced from 2 exons.